Molecule: ribosomal RNA, 465 nt
Filed under: Vreelandella stevensii
Lineage: Bacteria; Pseudomonadati; Pseudomonadota; Gammaproteobacteria; Oceanospirillales; Halomonadaceae
Description: partial 16S ribosomal RNA
Rfam family: Bacterial small subunit ribosomal RNA
Source: RNAcentral
CCUACGGGCGGCAGCAUUUUGUAAUAUUGGACAAUGGGGGGAACCCUGAUCCAGCCAUGCCGCGUGUGUGAAGAAGGCCCUCGGGUUGUAAAGCACUUUCAGUGAGGAAGAACGCCUGGUGGUUAAUACCCAUCAGGAAAGACAUCACUCACAGAAGAAGCACCGGCUAACUCCGUGCCAGCAGCCGCGGUAAUACGGAGGGUGCGAGCGUUAAUCGGAAUUACUGGGCGUAAAGCGCGCGUAGGUGGCUUGAUAAGCCGGUUGUGAAAGCCCCGGGCUCAACCUGGGAACGGCAUCCGGAACUGUCAAGCUAGAGUGCAGGAGAGGAAGGUAGAAUUCCCGGUGUAGCGGUGAAAUGCGUAGAGAUCGGGAGGAAUACCAGUGGCGAAGGCGGCCUUCUGGACUGACACUGACACUGAGGUGCGAAAGCGUGGGUAGCAAACAGGAUUAGAUACCCCAGUAGUC